Molecule: transfer RNA, 77 nt
Filed under: Sphaerisporangium siamense
Lineage: Bacteria; Bacillati; Actinomycetota; Actinomycetes; Streptosporangiales; Streptosporangiaceae
Description: tRNA-Asp
Source: RNAcentral
CGGUCCCGUGGGUGGUACGGGUCGAAUCCGGUCGGUUAUCUCACGGUGAAUACAGGUUCGAAUCCUGUCGGGCCGCC